Molecule: ribosomal RNA, 208 nt
Filed under: uncultured bacterium
Lineage: Bacteria
Description: partial 16S ribosomal RNA
Rfam family: Bacterial small subunit ribosomal RNA
Source: RNAcentral
CUCGUAGGUGGUUCGUUACGUCGGAUGUGAAAAUCUGGGGCUCAACCCCCAGACCUGCAUCCGAUACGGGCGAGCUAGAGUUUGGUAGGGGAGACUGGAAUUCCUGGUGUAGCGGUGGAAUGCGCAGAUAUCAGGAGGAACACCAAUGGCGAAGGCAGGUCUCUGGGCCAAUACUGACACUGAGGAGCGAAAGCGUGGGGAGCGAACA